GGCUAUCUGAUUUGCUUAUUGCACCACAUGUGUUUUUCUUUGAAACAAACUUGCUUUGGCGGUGGGCCCAGCCUGCCGCCAGAGGUCUAAACUUACAACCAAUUUUUUAUCAACUUGUCACACCAGAUUAUUACUAAUAGUCAAAACUUUCAACAACGGAUCUCUUGGUUCUCGCAUCGAUGAAGAACGCAGCGAAAUGCGAUACGUAAUAUGAAUUGCAGAUAUUCGUGAAUCAUCGAAUCUUUGAACGCACAUUGCGCCCUCUGGUAUUCCGGAGGGCAUGCCUGUUUGAGCGUCGUUUCUCCCUCAAACCGCUGGGUUUGGUGUUGAGCAAUACGACUUGGGUUUGCUUGAAAGACGGUAGUGGUAAGGCGGGAUCGCUUUGACAAUGGCUUAGGUCUAACCAAAAACAUUGCUUGCGGCGGUAACGUCCACCACGUAUAUCUUCAAACUUUGACCUCAAAUCAGGUAGGACUACCCGCUGAACUUAAGCAUAUCAAUAAGCGGAGGAA
This 512-nucleotide ribosomal RNA is filed under the name Candida albicans. RNAcentral's name for it is "eukaryotic LSU rRNA". The stretch from base 145 to 298 matches the Rfam family "5.8S ribosomal RNA". The record is from RNAcentral. Lineage: Eukaryota; Fungi; Ascomycota; Pichiomycetes; Serinales; Debaryomycetaceae.